AUACGGAGGAUGCAAGCGUUAUCCGGAUUUAUUGGGUUUAAAGGGUGCGUAGGCGGUUUGCUAAGCGGGAGGUGAAAUGCCGGCGCUCAACGUCGGAAGUGCCUCCCGAACUGGUGGACUGGAAUGACUCUGCCGUGGGAGGAAUGUGUAGUGUAGCGGUGAAAUGCUUAGAGAUUACACAGAACACCGAUUGCGAAGGCAUCUCACGAAGGGUUGAUUGACGCUGAGGCACGAAAGCGUGGGGAUCAAACAGGAUUAGAUACCCUGGUAGUCCACGCAGUAAACGAUGAUGGCUAACCGCUGGUUUAUUCGGAUCAGUGGCCAAGCGAAAGCGAUAAGCCAUCCACCUGGGGAGUACGACCGCAAGGUUGAAACUCAAAUGAAUUGGCGGGG
Molecule: ribosomal RNA, 393 nt
Filed under: uncultured bacterium
Lineage: Bacteria
Description: partial 16S ribosomal RNA
Rfam family: Bacterial small subunit ribosomal RNA
Source: RNAcentral